GGUACCCCUCAAGUCCCCUUUUCCCCCAUGAGUUUGAGCUCUAUGUUUGCCCAUUUGCCUGGUGGGCCUCUUUCAGGCCUAUGCUCUCCCACAGCAAAGGGCGAGCCACUGAGAUUUUCAUCCAUGCUUCGAGUGAUCAGAGAAAGGUUGUGUGCUGGUGGAGGUAGGGGGUUAAAGGGAUAAGGCAUAACCUGAGACUUCAAAACGCUGCUGAGCCCCACACUGGGCGGAGGCCUAAGAAGUUUGGAAUGUUCUGCUAAAGGCCUAAGGCAGGGCUUUGUGUGGAGGCGGGCUGGGCGGGGCAUCCUCUGAUAUUUUCCAGGUUUAGCCUCUGGCUUUCUUAUAUUGCUAUUCCCAUUGGUUUGUGUUGUCCUAUUUUGGGCUUCGUGGGAAAUAGCUCAGCUGUGGGUUAGAAUAAGUAACUCUAUGUCUGUUAUUUAAUGGAGGCCGACUCUGGUUCCUACCUAAUGCCUUCAAAGCCCUGUCUCCGAAAUUGGUGAAUGUGAUUAUCUGGUACACAUUGGGGUAUGAAGAUCGCCAGUUAGAGACCAGCGUGGAAUAUAUAAAAAGAAUUGUGGUUUCUGUGAAUGGCUUCAGGGGAGCUCAGGAAAAGAGGCAGCAGGAGACAGAUGCCAUGAGAAGAUCACGGAGGACUUCCAUUCUCCAUCAG
Molecule: long non-coding RNA, 670 nt
Organism: Peromyscus eremicus (cactus mouse)
Lineage: Eukaryota; Metazoa; Chordata; Mammalia; Rodentia; Cricetidae
Exons: 2
Source: RefSeq, a predicted model, not a curated record